GAGGGCCCUCGCAAAGUCUCGCGGCAUUCCGAGUCCGGCGGACGAAGUUGGCCAGCCCCAACCCCCAAGGCUAUAGCCCACCCUUUUUUGUGGCCUUUUUCCGCUGGACGAACUUGGCGCCCCGGCCUUCGGGCGGUUAUUUUUGGGCGCGGCUUUGUCCGCGGCCUAUUUUUGGCACACGGAGGCCCCUCGCAAAGUCUCGCGGCAUUCCGAGUCCGGCGGACGAAGUUGGCCAGCCCCACCCCCCAAGGCUAUAGCCCACCCAUUUUUGUGGCCUUUUUCCGCUGGACGAACUUGGCGCCCCGGCCUUCGGGCAGUUAUUUUUUUGCGCGGCUUUGCCCCCGGCCUACUUCAGGCACACAGAGGCCCCUCGCAAAGUCUCGCGGCAUUCCGAGUCCGGCGGCCGAAGUCGGCCGGCCCCACCCCCCAAGGCUAUAGCCCACCCGUUUUUGUGGCCUUUUUCCGCUGGACGAACUUGGCGUCCCGGCCUUCGGGCGGUUAUUUUAGGGUGCGGCUUUGCCCGUGACCUAUUUUUGGCACACGGAGGCCCCUCGCAAAGUCUCGCGGCAUUCCGAGUCCGGCGGACGAAGUUGGCCAGCCCCACCCCCCAACGCUGUAACCCACCCGUUUUUGUGGACUUUUUCCGCUGGACGAACUUGGCGCCCCGGCCUUCGGGGGGUUAUUUUUUGGCGCGGCUUUACCCGCGGCCUACUUUAGGCACACGGAGGCCCCUCGCAAAGUCUCGCGGCAUUCCGAGUCUGGCGGACGAAGUCGGCCAGCCCCACCCCCCAAGGCUAUAGCCCACCCGUUUUUGUGGCCUUUUUCCGCUGGACGAACUUUGCGCCGCGGCCUUCGGGCGGUUAUUUUUGGGCGCGGCGUUGCCCGCGGCCUAUUUUUGGCACACGGAGGCCCCUCGCAAUGUCUCGCGGCAUUCCGAGUCCGGCGGACGAAGUUGGCCAGCCCCACCCCCCAACGCUGUAACCCACCCGUUUUUGUGGACUUUUUCCGCUGGACGAACUUGGCGCCCCGGCCUUCGGGGAGUUAUUUUUGGGUGCGGCUUUGGCUGCGGCCUAUUUUUGGCACACAGAGGCCCCUCGCAAAGUCUCGCGGCAUUCCGAGUCCAGCGGACGAAGUGGGCCAGCCCCACCCCCCAAGGUUAUAGCCCACCCGUUUUUGUGGCCUUUUUCCGCUGGACGAACUUGGCGCCCAGGCCUUCGGGCGGUUAUUUUUGGCCGCGGCCUGAUUUUGGCACACGGAGGCCCAUCGGAAAGUCUCGUGGCAUCCCAAGACCGGCGGACGAAGUUGGCCAGCCCCACCCCCCAAGGCUAUAGCCCACCCGUUUUUGUGGUCUUUUUCCGCUGGACGAACUUGGCGCCCUGGCCUUCAGGCAGUUAUUUUUUGGCGCGGCUUUGCCCGCGGCCUACUUUUGGCUCACGGAGGCCCCUCGCAAAGUUUCGCGGCAUUCCGAGUCCGGCGGACGAAGUCGGCCAGCCCCACCCCCCAAGGCUAUAGCCCACCCGUUUUUGUAGCCUUUUUCCGCUGGACGAACUUGGUGCCCCGGCCUUCGGGCAGUUAUUUUUGAGCACGGCGUUGCCCGUGGCCUACCUUUGGCACACAAAUGCCCCUCGCAAAGUCUCACGGCAUUCCGAGUCCGGCGGACGAAGUCGGCCUGCCCCACCCCCCAAGGCUAUAGCCCACCCGUUUUUGUGGCCUUUUUCCGCUGGACGAACUUGGCGUCCCGGCCUUCGGGUGGUUAUUUUUAGGCCCGGCUUUGCCCGCGGCCUAUUUUUGGCACACGGAGGCCCCUCGCAAAGUCUCGCGGCAUUGCGAGUCCGGCGGACGAAGUCGGCCAGCCCCAUCCCCCAAGGCUAUAGCCCACCCGUUUUUGUGGCCUUUUUCCGCUGGACGAACUUGGUGCCCCGGCCUUCGGGCAGUUAUUUUUGGGCGCGGCUUUGCCCGCGGCCUACCUUUGGCACACAGAGGCCCCUCGCAAAGUCUCACGGCAUUCCGAGUCCGGCGGACGAAGUCGGCCUGCCCCACCCCCCAAGGCUAUAGCCCACCCAUUUUUGUAGCCUUUUUCCGCUGGACGAACUUGGCGUCCCGGCCUUCGGGCGGUUAUUUUUGGGCGCGGCUUUGUCCGUGUCCUAUUUUUGGCACACGGAGGCCCCUCGCAAAGUCUCACGGCAUUCCAAGCCCGGCAGACGAAGUUGGCCAGCCCCACCCCCCAAGGCUAUAGCUAGGGAUGGCAAAAUCCGGGUCCGGGUCCGGGUUUAACGUUUCCGGUUCCGGACCCGGAUGACAAUUUAUGCUCCCGGAUCCGGAUAUAAACCCGGAUUAUUUCACUCCGGGUCCGGUCCGGGUUCAACCCGGAAAAAUCCGGGUUUCCGGAUUGCGGGUUUCAAACCCGGUAGUUGGAUGAAGAUAGAUUUACAGAAGCAAAAAACAAUAGGAUGAAUUCAUGGGAUCACAACCAAUUUUGCUUACUUCAAUAAUAAAAUUUACAAUUAUAUGGAUAUUAUGUGCUAAGAUGCUGCGUUUGGCUAUUAACAACAAGAAAAAAAAUUAAUAAUUACCGAAGUUAAGCAAAAGCAAAAAAUUAAAAGAGAAAUACAGAGAAACGAAAGAAAAUUUCAGGUCGCAGCUAAGGCGGUGAUGGGCCAAUGAAAAAUAUGAUUGCCGGCGAGAAGGGGUUAGCAACUAGCAGCAAAGCUUGCUCUUUGGAGAGAGAUGAGACCGAAUUUGACGAUGGUGGAGCUGGGUUUUUGAUAAUAAUGGAUGAUGAAUUGAGAUGAUUUAAUUGAUGAUGUAUUGAUGAACUUGGUCGUUGGGGAUGAAGAAGACGAAGAUUGAGGUGGCAGUCGCUAGGGAUGAGGGAGAUGAGGUUUGAGGUGGCCGCUGGGGAUGAGUGAGAUGAAGAUGGAGAUGAAGAUUGAGAGAUGAACUGAUAAAGAUUGAGGGAUUGUUUUGUUUUGCUUAUGUUCCCCCCUCCCCUCAACAAGGUGGCGGCUGGUGCAAUUGUUUUGUUUUGCUUUAGGGUUUUACGGGUUUUUCUUGUUUGCUUUUAUUUUUUUUUUCUUGCCCAAUUUAUUGUUUAAUGCUUAUAUAUUUUUUAGUUAGUAAUAAAAAUUAAUAAAUAAAUAAAUGGUAGUCCGGGUCCGGGUUCCGGAGAUCCGGGUUCACCUAAACCCGGACCCGACCCGGAAUAUAUCCGGGUUUGAAAAAUUACAACCCGGAUCCGCAUUAUUAAUGCAUCCGGUGCGGGUUGAACCCGUACCGGAUAAUCCGGGUUUAUCCGGGUCCGGGCCGGGUCCGGAAAAAUUUGCCAUCCCUAGCUAUAGCCCACCCGUUUUUGUGGCCUUUUUCCGCUGGACGAACUUGGCGCCCCGGCCUUCGGGCAGUUAUUUUUUGGCGUGGCUUUGCCCGCGGCCUACCUUUGGCACACAGAGGCCCCUCGCAAAGUCUCAUGGCAUUCCGAGUCCGGCGGACGAAGUCGGCCUGCCCCACGCCCCAAGGCUAUAGCCCACCCGUUUUUGUGGCCUUUUUCCGCUGGACGAACUUGGCGUCCCGGCCUUCGGGCGGUUAUUUUUGGGCGCGGCUUUGCCCGCGGCCUAUUUUUGGCACACGGAGGCCCCUCGCAAAGUCUCGCGGCAUUCCGAGUCCGGCGGACGAAGUUGGCCAGCCCCACCCCCCAAGGCUAUAGCCCACCCGUUUUUGUGGCCUUUUUCCGCUGGACGAACUUGGCGUCCCGGCCUUCGGGCGGUUAUUUUUGGGCGCGGCUUUGCCCGCGGCCUAUUUUUGGCACACGGAGGCCCCUCGCAAAGUCUCGCGGCAUUCCGAGUCCGGCGGACGAAGUUGGCCAGCCCUACCCCCCAAGGCUAUAGCCCACCCGUUUUUGUGGCCUUUUUCCGCUGGACGAACUUGGCGCCCCGGCCUUUAGGCAGUUAUUUUUUGGCACGGCUUUGCCCGCGGCCUAAUUUAGGCCCACGAAGGCCCCUCGCAAAGUCUCGCGGCAUUCCGAGUCCGGCGGACGAAGUCGGCCAGCCCCACCCCCAAAGGCUAUAGCCCACCCGUUUUUGUGGCCUUUUUCCGCUGGACGAACUUGGCGCCCCGGCCUUCGGGCAGUUAUUUUUGGGUGCGGCAUUGCCCGUGGCCUACCUUUGGCACACAGAGGCCCCUCGCAAAGUCUCUGCCAUUCCGAGUCCGGCGGACGAAGUCGGCCUGCCCCACCCCCCAAGGCUAUAGCCCACCCGUUUUUGUGGCCUUUUUCCGCUGGACGAACUUGGCGUCCCGGCCUUCGGGCGGUUAUUUUUAGGCGCGGCUUUGCCCGCGGCCUAUUUUUGGCACACGGAGGCCCCUCGCAAAGUCUCGCGGCAUUGUGACUCCGGUGGACGAAGUCGGCCAGCCCCACCCCCCAAGGCUAUAGCCCACCCGUUUUUGUGGCCUUUUUCCGCUGGACGAACUUGGUGCCCCGGCUUUCGGGCAGUUAUUUUUGGGCGCGGCUUUGUCCACGGCCUACCUUUGGCACACAGAGGCCCCUCGCAAAGUCUCACGGCAUUCCGAGUCCGGCGGACAAAGUCGGCCUGCCCCACCCCCCAAGGCUAUAGCCCACCCGUUUUUGUGGCCUUUUUCCGCUGGACGAACUUGGCGUCCCGGCCUUCGGGCGGUUAUUUUUUGGCGCGGCUUUGCCCGCGGCCUAUUUUUGGCACACAGAGGCCCCUCGCAAACUCUCGCGGCAUUCCAAGCCCGGCGGACGAAGUUGGCCAGCCCCACCCCCCAAGGCUAUAGCCCACCCGUUUUUUGUGGCCUUUUUCCGCUGGACGAACUUGGCGCCCCGGCCUUUGGGCAGUUAUUUUUUGGUGCGGCUUUGCCCGUGGCCUACCUUUGGCACACAGAGGCCCCUCGCAAAGUCUCACGGCAUUCCGAGUCCGGCGGACGAAGUCGGCCUGCCCCACCCCCCAAGGCUAUAGCCCACCCGUUUUUGUGGCCNN
This 4988-nucleotide long non-coding RNA is filed under the name Citrus x clementina. RNAcentral describes it as "Citrus clementina (C. clementina) long non-coding RNA (CCLE_LNC006220)". Lineage: Eukaryota; Viridiplantae; Streptophyta; Magnoliopsida; Sapindales; Rutaceae. The record is from RNAcentral.